GCUCAGUGUCUCUUGUUUCGUCUCAAAAACAUAAUUUAAUGACGUUGGGUUAAUGUUUGACUCUCAGAUGUCUUAUUGGCUUCUUCAGGGAGCUCACGACACAUUGGUCGACGCGCUGACUGUGGUGACGGUCAUCAGCAACGAGGAAACGGUCAUUCCAGCUUUAGUGGACUCGGCUGGAAGACCACAUCAGAAGGUGCUGAAGCCAAACUGGAGCAGCCAGAGAAGUUGGGGACAAGUUUGAUGCUUCCUGUGAAUGCAGCAAUGUGAGCACUUGGACGAAGUCCCAGGCAGCAACAAGUCACAUCCUCUUCAUUGCUGGUAAUCUUCUGAAGGAGGGUAAGGGACACCUGAGAUGACUUGCAGCAACCACUCCUCACAUGUC
Phyllopteryx taeniolatus (common seadragon) is the source of this 385-nucleotide long non-coding RNA. RefSeq lists it as uncharacterized. The record is from RefSeq and is a predicted model, not a curated record. The transcript has 4 exons. Lineage: Eukaryota; Metazoa; Chordata; Actinopteri; Syngnathiformes; Syngnathidae.